RNAcentral lists this ribosomal RNA (253 nucleotides) under uncultured bacterium. RNAcentral describes it as "partial 16S ribosomal RNA". It matches the Rfam family "Bacterial small subunit ribosomal RNA", at positions 524 to 776 of the family's 1533-position model. The record is from RNAcentral.
UACAGAGGUCCCGAGCGUUGUUCGGAUUCACUGGGCGUAAAGGGUGCGUAGGUGGCCUAAAAAGUUUGAUGUGAAAGCUCAGGGCUUAACCCUGAAAUGGCAUUGAAUACUGUUGGGCUGGAGGUUUGGAGGGGGGACUGGAAUUCUUGGUGUAGCAGUGAAAUGCGUAGAUAUCAAGAGGAACACCAGUGGCGAAGGCGAGUCCCUGGACAACACCUGACACUGAGGCACGAAAGCCGGGGGAGCAAACGGG